AAAGCUGUAGCCAAAAGGUAAAGGCAGCCUCGGUAAGACGAAGGCUUAUUUGAGGGUUCGACUCCCUCCAGCUUUA
RNAcentral lists this transfer RNA (76 nucleotides) under [Phormidium ambiguum] IAM M-71. RNAcentral's name for it is "Phormidium ambiguum IAM M-71 tRNA". It matches the Rfam family "tRNA". Rfam says of the family: Transfer RNA (tRNA) molecules are approximately 80 nucleotides in length. Lineage: Bacteria; Bacillati; Cyanobacteriota; Cyanophyceae; Aerosakkonematales; Aerosakkonemataceae. The record is from Rfam by way of RNAcentral.